Molecule: long non-coding RNA, 492 nt
Filed under: Macaca mulatta (Rhesus monkey)
Lineage: Eukaryota; Metazoa; Chordata; Mammalia; Primates; Cercopithecidae
Description: lncRNA (ENSMMUG00000049005.2)
Source: RNAcentral
AUGUGCAGACUCCGCUGGAAUUGGCUUAACUCCGUGUGCGCACACCUGUGGAUGAAGAGCCAGAGUCCCCCAAGGUCAAUGCUGCUGGCCAGUGGCCUGGUGUCUGCAUUAACAGAACAUCUGCAACGCCCUCAAAGCCCAUGGCCACUCUCUAGUCCAGAGGAGAAAAGGAUAAUAAAUAUCACACUAAACAACAUGGAAUACUUCUCAAGUCACCAGAAAGAGGCAUCUGGCUUAGAGCAGUGUGAGGUCAGCCAGCAAAGGGGUGACUUGGACCUUCCUGACCUUCCCCUCUCAGAUCCUAUAAAGGAUGUGGUGGUCCUGCCUGGAGAAUCCAUGUCCCUGUUAAGAUGCAGUGCCCGCCUUCAGCGAGUUUAAAAGGAGGAUGCUGGACAUGUGGAAAGAAGAAACCUGGUGGCCUUGGCCUGGGAAUAUGGCGGUUCCAAGCACAAUGCUGUACUGAAAUGGUACCAGAAGACAGAAGGUUACGCG